AUUGAACGCUGGCGGCAGGCCUAACACAUGCAAGUCGAACGAGUGGCGGACGGGUGAGUAAUGUCUGGGAAACUGCCCGAUGGAGGGGGACAACUACUGGAAAAGGUAGCUAAUCCCGCAUACCAUCGGAUGUGCCCAUAUGGGAUUUGCUAGUAGGCUGGGUAACGGCUCACCUAGACGACGUUCCCUAGCUGGUCUGAGAGGAGGACCAGCCACGCUGGGACUGAGACACGGUCCAGACUCCUAGGGGAGGCAGCAGUGGGGAAUGUUGCACAAUUGGCGCAAGCCUGAUGCAGCCAUGCCGCGUGUAUGAAGAAGGCCUUCGGGUUGUAAAGUACUUUCAGCGAGGAGGCGUUACUCGCAGAAGAAGCACCGGCUAACUCCGUGCCAGCAGCCGCGGUAAUAC
RNAcentral lists this ribosomal RNA (406 nucleotides) under uncultured bacterium. RNAcentral describes it as "partial 16S ribosomal RNA". It matches the Rfam family "Bacterial small subunit ribosomal RNA", at positions 30 to 526 of the family's 1533-position model. The record is from RNAcentral.